Molecule: ribosomal RNA, 437 nt
Rfam family: Bacterial small subunit ribosomal RNA
ACGGAAGGCAGCAGUGGGGAAUAUUGGGCAAUGGGCGUAAGCCUGACCCAGCAACGCCGCGUGAAGGAAGAAGGUCUUCGGAUUGUAAACUUCUUUUAUGAGGGACGAAGGAAGUGACGGUACCUCAUGAAUAAGCCACGGCUAACUACGUGCCAGCAGCCGCGGUAAUACGUAGGUGGCAAGCGUUAUCCGGAUUUACUGGGUGUAAAGGGCGCGUAGGCGGGGAUGCAAGUCAGGUGUGAAAUCUAUGGGCUUAACUCAUAAACUGCAUUUGAAACUGUUAUUCUUGAGUAUCGGAGAGGCAGGCGGAAUUCCUAGUGUAGCGGUGAAAUGCGUAGAUAUUAGGAGGAACACCAGUGGCGAAGGCGGCUUGCUGGACGACAACUGACGCUGAGGCGCGAAAGCGUGGGGAGCAAACAGGAUUAGAUACCCUGGUA